Molecule: ribosomal RNA, 504 nt
Filed under: uncultured bacterium
Lineage: Bacteria
Description: bacterial SSU rRNA
Rfam family: Bacterial small subunit ribosomal RNA
Source: RNAcentral
GACGAACGCUGGCGGCGUGGAUUAGGCAUGCAAGUCGAACGGUAUCAUCCUUUCGGGGAUGAGAGAGUGGCGAACGGGUGAGUAACACGUAGGUGAUCUACCCUCAAGACGGGGACAACCCAGGGAAACUUGGGCUAAUACCGGAUGUGAGCAACUUUUAGUUGUUUGAAAGGUGGCGUAAGCUGUCGCUUGGGGAUGAGCCUGCGUCCUAUUAGUUAGUUGGUGAGGUAACGGCUCACCUAGGCAAUGAUAGGUAGGCGGCCUUAACGGGUGGUCGCCCACACUGGGAUUGAGAUACGGCCCAGACUCCUACGGGAGGCAGCAGUCGAGAAUAGUCUACAAUGGUCGGAAGACUGAUAGUGCGACGCCGCGUGAACGAUGAAUCCCUUCGGGGUGUAAAGUUCUUUUAUAUGUGAGCAGUGCUUCUUAUAUUAACAGUAUGGGGAGAGAGAUAUUAGCAUAUGAAUAAGCAACGGCUAACUCCGUGCCAGCAGCCGCGGUAAA